Parasteatoda tepidariorum (common house spider) is the source of this 869-nucleotide non-coding RNA. NCBI's taxonomy places the organism in Eukaryota, Metazoa, Arthropoda, Arachnida, Araneae, Theridiidae. The record is from RefSeq and is a predicted model, not a curated record.
UUAAGAGUGUGUUUUUAAUCUUAUCUUAAGAACUAGAUAACUUUAGUGUCGAAAUAACUGUCGUAUUUAUUUUAGAUAUUAUUCCAUAUUAAAUCUGAUUGCAAUGGGAUUCCAGCAAGUGACGUAGCGUGAUAUCUCGAUUCUGAAUGGCUGUUGAAGCGUGACAUUUUCUUACGUUAGUAAAUGUUCUUUCCAUUCUAUUUCAACUCCAUUUGAAGUUGUUGAUUGCAGGGAAAAGAUGGCAACGAAGAAUAUGGAAAAAGUACAGAGAGUUAAACCCCGCAAUAGUGAACACGGUUUAUAGCAAACUCCCGGAUAUAGUGAACGAAAUGUUCGCUCUCGUGCCUUGUUACACGUAUAAUGUUAUUUAUUGUGGAUAUAGUGAACCAAGAAAAAAGAGGAAGUUGGACAUUAUGAACUUUUUCCUGUUUUUCGACUGAUUUAUUUUCUUAAUUUUUUUGCAAUUAUUUUAAAAUUUCUACUGCGAAAUAAAUGCAUAUACUGAUUUUUAAAACCAUCUAUAGCAUGGAAUGUAUCAAUAAGGAUUUUUUUCCUUGUUUGCUUAUUAUUGAAAAAGUUACUGAAUUGGUUCAGCAUUCAAGGAAUCCGCUAUCUUCAAGUAUCUGGGCAAAUGCUUCAAGUCAAAGCCGAUGAAUUUGCUAAGCAAUAUGGUAAGACUACUUUUAUGCACUCCAAUGGCUUGUUAGAGAUGUUUAAAAAAAGCGGAAUAACAUAAUAUCGAGAAAAAUUAUCGGAGAGUCGGGAAGUGUUUCCAUAUUUGAAGAUUGUUCAUCAGCUAAGGAUUACUAAUUUUUUUUUGUAUGCAAGACGAAGAGUAAUAAAAAAUAAAAGUUAACACAUUUUUGUUA